UGAGUACGAGAUGCUACGGCAUCGAAGCAGUCUAUGUCAUACUUCCAAGAAAAGCUUGCACUGUCAUAAACAAAGAAUGCCUGUACCAUAACCGACACAGGUGGGUAGGUAGAGUAUACUAAGGGGCGCGAGAUAACUCUCUCUAAGGAACUCGGCAAAAUGACUCCGUAACUUCGGGAGAAGGAGUGCCUUAUUUCUAAGGUUGCAAUAACAAGAUCCAAGCAACUGUUUACCAAAAACACAGGUCUCCGCUAAGUCGUAAGACGAUGUAUGGGGGCUGACGCCUGCCCAGUGCCAGAAGGUUAAAGAAGUUGGUUAGCAUUAGCGAAGCUGAUAACUGAAGCCCUGGUGAACGGCGGCCGUAACAAUAACGGUCCUAAGGUAGCGAAAUUCCUUGUCGGGUAAGUUCCGACCCGCACGAAAGGCGUAAUGAUUUGGAUACUGUCUCGGAGAGGGGCUCGGUGAAAUAGACUUGUCUGUGAAGAUGCGGACUACCUGCACCUGGACAGAAAGACCCUAUGAAGCUUUACUGUAACUUGAGAUUGAAAUUGGACUUUAUUUGCGCAGUAUAGGUGGGAGGCGUUGAGAAUAAUCUUGCGGGAUUGUUGGAGCCAUCAGUGAGAUACCACUCUUGUAAUGUUAGAUUUCUAACUUUGUAUCAUUAUCUGGUCAAAGAACAGUUUCAGGCGGGCAGUUUGACUGGGGCGGUCGCCUCCCAAAGGGUAACGGAGGCGCACAAAGGUUUCCUCUGAACGGGUAGAAAUCGUAUCUAGAGUGUAAAGGCAUAAGGAAGCUUGACUGUGAGACCUACAAGUCGAGCAGGGACGAAAGUCGGUCUUAGUGAUCUGACGGUGCUGAGUGGAAAGGCCGUCACUCAACGGAUAAAAGUUACUCUAAGGAUAACAGGCUGAUCUCCCCCAAGAGUUCACAUCGACGGGGAGGUUUGGCACCUCGAUGUCGGCUCAUCGCAUCCUGGGGCGGUAGUCCGUCCCAAGGGUUGGGCUGUUCGCCCAUGAAAGCGGUACGCGAGCUGGGUUCAGAACGUCGUGAGACAGUUCGGUCCAUAUCCGGUGUAGGCGUUAGAAUAUUGAGAGGAGCCUUCUCUAGUACGAGAGGACCGAGAAGGACAUACCUCUGGUGUACCAGUUAUCGUGCCAACGGUAAACGCUGGGUAGCUAUGUAUGGAGUGGAUAACCGCUGAAAGCAUCUAAGUGGGAAGCCCACCUCAAGAUAAGUAUUC
RNAcentral lists this ribosomal RNA (1240 nucleotides) under metagenome. RNAcentral's name for it is "bacterial LSU rRNA". It matches the Rfam family "Bacterial large subunit ribosomal RNA", at positions 1564 to 2813 of the family's 2925-position model. The record is from RNAcentral.